This 513-nucleotide ribosomal RNA is filed under the name uncultured bacterium. RNAcentral's name for it is "partial 16S ribosomal RNA". It matches the Rfam family "Bacterial small subunit ribosomal RNA", at positions 28 to 523 of the family's 1533-position model. The record is from RNAcentral.
GACGAACGCUGGCGGCGUGCCUAAUACAUGCAAGUCGAGCGAACAGAUGAAGUGCUUGCACUUCUGACGUUAGCGGCGAACGGGUGAGUAACACGUAAGGAAUCUACCUAUAAGCGGGGGAUAACAUUUGGAAACGGGUGCUAAUACCGCAUAAUAUCUUCUUCCGCAUGGAAGAAGAUUGAAAGACGGCUCUGCUGUCACUUAUAGAUGACCUUGCGGUGCAUUAGUUAGUUGGUGGGGUAAUGGCCUACCAAGACGAUGAUGCAUAGCCGACCUGGGAGGGUGAUCGGCCACAUUGGGACUGAGACACGGCCCAACCUCCUACGGGAGGCAGCAGUAGGGAAUCUUCCGCAAUGGGCGAAAGCCUGACGGAGCAAUGCCGCGUGAGUGAAGAAGGCCUUCGGGUCGUAAAACUCUGUUAUAAGAGAAGAACAAAUUGUAGAGUAACUGCUACAGUCUUGACGGUAUCUUAUCAGAAAGCCACGGCUAACUACGUGCCAGCCGCCGCCGUAA